Peromyscus eremicus (cactus mouse) is the source of this 362-nucleotide long non-coding RNA. RefSeq lists it as uncharacterized. The transcript has 2 exons. The record is from RefSeq and is a predicted model, not a curated record. Lineage: Eukaryota; Metazoa; Chordata; Mammalia; Rodentia; Cricetidae.
CCCCCAACCCCCACCCCACUCCCAAGAGCCACAGACCCCUGGCCUCCAGCAUCCUAGCAUCCAGGCUGCAGCAGGUGGCCUGCGAGGGACCAGAGACUAGAGCCAGCCCACCUGGAGCUGCGGGAGGAGGACUCUGCCGGAAGCCGAGAACCCCUGUGUAGCACUGCGGCCCGGGACCGCGUCACCCCAAGUCCCCGCCUGCACCCUAGCCCGGAGCGCCCCCGCCCCGCGCGCCGCCUCCUCCCCAAGCCCGGGGCCUGAAAGCUGCAAGGAAUCUGUCCAGCUCGGCGGAGUUUUCUCCAGGCGACUGCGGUGACGCAGCUCCUAAAGUUUAAAUGCAACUUUCUCUCUUGCUUUCCACA